UAUAUGUAGAACUAGAAGUGUUUGUUAAGAGAUUAAAAGUGAUCUGUUUGAAGCGAUCAAACAGGUGUCAGCAAUUUCGCUGUAAUAAUAAUUAUGAGCGACGUAUCUGGGAAUCUGGCAAAAAUAACAAGAUUAUACGAAUUAUUCGUAUUUUACUGGUGUUAACAAGUGGUUACGUCAUACAGAAGAGGAAGAACGCCUUCUUGGAAAAUAUACUGCAUCACAACAGCGUAGAGAUGGCUACAUAUCAGAAUUUUCCUUUAGAUAUGAAUGCAAAUCGCUGCUUUAUAUUUAAUCCUGUGAAAGGAUUGAGAAAUAUUUUGGUACUAACCAGUGGGUAAUGGUACCGGUUCCGUCGUGGGAUGAUGAGAAAGGGCUUCCCCUGGAUACGAAAACGCUCCUCCAGGAAUCGGCGAAAACGAGCCACCACUGCUUACUGGUGGAGCUGGAUAAGAAGAUGCUGCAGAUGGGUCCAGCGUAAGAAUCACAAGGUCUACGUCAUUUAUACCAAGUAAUUAUCCGAUAUUAAUUAUCAUCUCUUGAAAUAUUUAUCGCAGAGUUCGCGACUUCCGUCGGACGUGAAAUGAAUUUCCAACUACCUACCUCCGCGGUAAUGACGAGACGAGCAACCGGUAAAAGUUACGGAAAUACAGAGAGGAAAAUAUCGCACGCUGAGUCAACGAUGAUUCGGCAAAAUUAUUACUCGCCAUUAUUCCGUCGAAGCUGA
This 727-nucleotide unclassified non-coding RNA is filed under the name Bombus terrestris (buff-tailed bumblebee). Its description in RNAcentral is "misc RNA ENSBTSG00005034436.1". Lineage: Eukaryota; Metazoa; Arthropoda; Insecta; Hymenoptera; Apidae. The record is from RNAcentral.